CAACCAAGAAUUAAAUGUGCUGCUUACAUCGCGUAUUGGCAUAAUCUACAAACAAAUUUCAAAGCAUGUAUAAAAUGUGCAAAAUAAAACCAUCUGUGAAUCAAGUAGUAAUGUAUAUUACAGGGAGUAAGGAAGUAUUCAUAGUAGUAGUGUAUCAUAAAAGCUACAUGCACAGCCAGCCUUGUUUAUACUUGUGUAUUCAAUAGACUGCUAGGGUACGUCUUAGUCAUAGAAAGGACUGAAUGCAAACAAAUCAACACUGGAACAUAAAUGCAGUUUAAGGGAGAUAACAUUAUGCCAGUGGUUCCCAAACUUUUUAGGUUCAAGACGCCCUUACUAUUUCAAUAUUUUUCCAAGGCACUCCAAGUCAAAAAAAUGUUCUAGGUUGCAUAUAUGUAUAGCGCUGCAGCAUAUACUGGGCCCCCAAUCUUGGGAGUGGCACUGGUAGAUUAUUUAAAGAAACAAUCCAGGCACAAUAACCACUAAAUUACGUUGCAGUGGUUAUGGUGCCAGUAGUACCAUAGUGCCCUCCAAGGGUAAGUAGUAAACUGUUUAAGAACAGUUUGACAACGUACCCUGGGUCUGCUGGAAUAGGGGCUAUAGUGUGUGUGUGGUGCAAUAUGUGUGUGUGAGGGGUGCAAUAGGUGUGUGUGUAAGGGGUGUAGUGUGCGUGUAUGUACAGGGUUGCAGAGUGCGUGUGUGUGUGUACAGGGGUGCAUUGUGUUUGUGAAGGAUGUAGUUUGUGUGUGUGCCUAAGGGGUACAGUGUGUAUGUAAGGGCUACAGAGUGUGUGUGUGAGGUGUACAGUGUGUGUGAGGGGGGCAGGUUGUGUGAGGAGUACAGUGUCUGUGCAGUGUAUGUGGUGGGGUGUAGUGUGUGUGAGGGGUACAGUGUGUGUGUGUAUGGGGUUAGUGUGUAUUUGGGGUGCAGUGUGUGUGUAUGGGGGUCAGGGCCAUCUUUAAUGCGGGGCAAACGGGGCAGCUGCCCCAGGCCCAGUUACUCUUGGGGGGCCCAAGGCAGCUUCCCCGUGGGCCCCCGCAGCCCUCAACAAUUUUUUCCCACAAGGGGCCGCCGGCCCGCACAUUAAGGAGGCCACUGGUUGGUUGUGCAACCAGUUUGUAAGCAGGGGCCCGGUCACAUGCUGUAGCCCUUUAACAGCGCGACCAGGCCCUUUGCUUUUCGGCAGAGCUGGGAGGAAGUGAUGGCUGCGAGUCUCUUCCUCCCACUAAGGAGAGGAGCCGCGUGGGAGAUGAAGGAGGGAGCCUGACCUGAAGAGGCAGAUCCCAACAGCCUCAGCAUUCAGUCUGGACACUGGGGAACCACCUUCCAAGGUAGGAAACUUGUGGGUGGGUUUAAAAGUGUAAAUUUAUGUCAGUAUAUCUGUCUGUGUAUGUGUCUGUGUUUGUGUCGGUAUGUCUGUCAGUGUAUUUGUCUCUGUUUGUGUCAGUAUGUCUGUCAUUGUAUGUUUAUGUCAGUAUGUCUGUCUGUGUAUGUUUCAGUAUGUCUGUCAUUGUAUGUUUAUGUCAGUAUGUAUGUCAGUGUAUGUGUCUGUGUUUGUGUCAGUAUGUCUGUCGGUGUAUGUUUAUGUCAGUAUGUCUGUCAUUGUGUCUGUAUGUGUGUGUCAGUAUGUCUGUCAUUUUAUGUCUUUGUGUAUGUGUGUCAGUAUGUCUGACAGUGUUUGUCUGUGUAUGUGUGUCAGUAUAUAUGUCUGCAUGUGUGUCAGUAUGUCUGUCAGUGUUUGUGUGUGUGUGUGUCAGUAUGUCUCUAGUGUAUGUCUCUGUGUGUGUGUCAGUUUGUCUGUCAGUGUAUGUGUCUGUGUGUGUGUCAGUAUGUCUGUUAGUGUAUCUAUCUGUGUAUGUGUGUUAGUAUGUCUGGCAGGGGGCAGGUUCCAGGAGCCCCAAGCAAAUGGUUGCCCAGGGUCCGGUCAAUAUUAAAGACUGCCCUGAUGGGGGUAGUGUGUGUAUGGGGGGCAGGGUCUUUAUGGAAGGGCAGUGUGUGUAUGGGGGCAGUGUGUGU
Non-coding RNA from Pelobates cultripes (western spadefoot toad), 2016 nucleotides. The record is from the annotation of a GenBank genome assembly. Lineage: Eukaryota; Metazoa; Chordata; Amphibia; Anura; Pelobatidae.